RNAcentral lists this ribosomal RNA (529 nucleotides) under Rhizobium sp. GD31. RNAcentral describes it as "bacterial SSU rRNA". It matches the Rfam family "Bacterial small subunit ribosomal RNA", at positions 102 to 666 of the family's 1533-position model. Lineage: Bacteria; Pseudomonadati; Pseudomonadota; Alphaproteobacteria; Hyphomicrobiales; Rhizobiaceae. The record is from RNAcentral.
ACGGGUGAGUAACGCGUGGGAAUCUACCCUUGACUACGGAAUAACGCAGGGAAACUUGUGCUAAUACCGUAUGUGUCCUUCGGGAGAAAGAUUUAUCGGUCAAGGAUGAGCCCGCGUUGGAUUAGCUAGUUGGUGGGGUAAAGGCCUACCAAGGCGACGAUCCAUAUCUGGUCUGAGAGGAUGAUCAGCCACAUUGGGACUGAAACACGGCCCAAACUCCUACGGGAGGCAGCAGUGGGGAAUAUUGGACAAUGGGCGCAAGCCUGAUCCAGCCAUGCCGCGUGAGUGAUGAAGGCCCUAGGGUUGUAAAGCUCUUUCACCGGAGAAGAUAAUGACGGUAUCCGGAGAAGAAGCCCCGGCUAACUUCGUGCCAGCAGCCGCGGUAAUACGAAGGGGGCUAGCGUUGUUCGGAAUUACUGGGCGUAAAGCGCACGUAGGCGGAUCGAUCAGUCAGGGGUGAAAUCCCAGGGCUCAACCCUGGAACUGCCUUUGAUACUGUCGAUCUGGAGUAUGGAAGAGGUGAGUGGAA